RNAcentral lists this ribosomal RNA (888 nucleotides) under Pediococcus stilesii. RNAcentral's name for it is "bacterial SSU rRNA". It matches the Rfam family "Bacterial small subunit ribosomal RNA", at positions 23 to 866 of the family's 1533-position model. The record is from RNAcentral. Lineage: Bacteria; Bacillati; Bacillota; Bacilli; Lactobacillales; Lactobacillaceae.
CUCAGGAUGAACGCUGGCGGCGUGCCUAAUACAUGCAAGUCGAACGAACUUCCGUUAAUUGAUUAAGCGGUACUUGUACCAAUUGAGAUUUUAACACGAAGUGAGUGGCGAACGGGUGAGUAACACGUGGGUAACCUGCCCAGAAGUAGGGGAUAACACCUGGAAACAGAUGCUAAUACCGUAUAAUAGAGAAAACCGCAUGGUUUUCUUUUGAAAGAUGGCUCUGCUAUCACUUCUGGAUGGACCCGCGGCGCAUUAGCUAGUUGGUAAGGUAAAGGCUUACCAAGGCAGUGAUGCGUAGCCGACCUGAGAGGGUAAUCGGCCACAUUGGGACUGAGACACGGCCCAGACUCCUACGGGAGGCAGCAGUAGGGAAUCUUCCACAAUGGACGCAAGUCUGAUGGAGCAACGCCGCGUGAGUGAAGAAGGGUUUCGGCUCGUAAAGCUCUGUUGUUAAAGAAGAACGUGGGUGAGAGUAACUGUUCACCCAGUGACGGUAUUUAACCAGAAAGCCACGGCUAACUACGUGCCAGCAGCCGCGGUAAUACGUAGGUGGCAAGCGUUAUCCGGAUUUAUUGGGCGUAAAGCGAGCGCAGGCGGUCUUUUAAGUCUAAUGUGAAAGCCUUCGGCUCAACCGAAGAAGUGCAUUGGAAACUGGGAGACUUGAGUGCAGAAGAGGACAGUGGAACUCCAUGUGUAGCGGUGAAAUGCGUAGAUAUAUGGAAGAACACCAGUGGCGAAGGCGGCUGUCUGGUCUGCAACUGACGCUGAGGCUCGAAAGCAUGGGUAGCGAACAGGAUUAGAUACCCUGGUAGUCCAUGCCGUAAACGAUGAAUGCUAAGUGUUGGAGGGUUUCCGCCCUUCAGUGCUGCAGCUAACGCAUAAGCA